CACACACACCCACACACCCCUCCAGACAUGCUUGGACCAUCAGGAAAGGAAUCUUCCCAUCUAUUUUAUGGGAUACAAAAAUCUGGGGAGACUUCUGAAUAGGUUCUUCCUGGUGACAACAGACAAGAAGAAUGAUGACAGGAGCUCCAAAUGAUUUCUCAGGAUUUUGAGGAGGCUGGAAUCUUAUCGGUCAUGGGGACACCACUGCAAACACUGACUAAGAAAGAUUUGCUUCAAGUCAACUGACUUUAACUAUCUGCAGAUUAGUGGAAUUCAGCAGGAAAAAGUGAAAGUGUGAUUAUUCUUUGUCACAAGGAAAAACCCAAGAGUCUUGCGGCAUCAUA
Molecule: long non-coding RNA, 344 nt
Organism: Hemicordylus capensis (graceful crag lizard)
Lineage: Eukaryota; Metazoa; Chordata; Lepidosauria; Squamata; Cordylidae
Exons: 3
Source: RefSeq, a predicted model, not a curated record